GGAGAGGUGGCUCAGAGGUUAAGAGCACUGGGCUGCUCCUCCAGAGGUCCUGAGUUCAAUUCCCAGCAACCACA
Rattus norvegicus (Norway rat) is the source of this 74-nucleotide non-coding RNA. The record is from Rfam. NCBI's taxonomy places the organism in Eukaryota, Metazoa, Chordata, Mammalia, Rodentia, Muridae.